This 576-nucleotide ribosomal RNA is filed under the name uncultured Hyphomicrobiales bacterium. RNAcentral's name for it is "bacterial SSU rRNA". It matches the Rfam family "Bacterial small subunit ribosomal RNA", at positions 108 to 719 of the family's 1533-position model. The record is from RNAcentral. Lineage: Bacteria; Pseudomonadati; Pseudomonadota; Alphaproteobacteria; Hyphomicrobiales.
GAGUAAUGUAUAGGAAUCUACCUAGUAGUACGGAAUAAUUGUUGGAAACGGCAACUAAUACCGUAUACGCCCUACGGGGGAAAAAUUUAUUGCUAUUAGAUGAGCCUAUAUUAGAUUAGUUAGUUGGUGAGGUAAAGGCUUACCAAGACAAUGAUCUAUAGCUGAUCUGAGAGGAUGAUCAGCCACACUGGAACUGAGAUACGGUCCAGACUCCUACGGGAGGCAGCAGUGGGGAAUAUUGGACAAUGGGCGAAAGCCUGAUCCAGCCAUGCCGCAUGAGUGAAGAAGGCCUUCGGGUUGUAAAGCUCUUUUAGUGAGGAAGAUAAUGACGGUACUCACAGAAGAAGUCCUGGCUAACUCCGUGCCAGCAGCCGCGGUAAUACGGAGAGGGCUAGCGUUAUUCGGAAUCAUUGGGCGUAAAGGGCGCGUAGGCGGGUUAGUAAGUUAAAAGUGAAAUCCCAAGGCUCAACCUUGGAACUGCUUUUAAAACUGCUAGUCUAGAGAUUGAAAGAGGAUAGAGGAAUUCCUAGUGUAGAGAUGAAAUUCGUAAAUAUUANGAGGAACACCAGUGGCGAA